Non-coding RNA from Triticum urartu, 3338 nucleotides. NCBI's taxonomy places the organism in Eukaryota, Viridiplantae, Streptophyta, Magnoliopsida, Poales, Poaceae. The record is from RefSeq and is a predicted model, not a curated record.
ACCACUGUCCGAGCAGAUUUGUGUAAAGAAAAAAAACGCGACCACACGAGGAGCACGGGCUCGCCUCCUCUCCCUCAUCGCCGCCGCCGCCGCCACCACCAACGCCGGCCGCUUCCGGCGACCUCCGGCGCCGCGCAGCACGCCCCCGAGCUCCCCACAUUCCGCGCCUCCCUCCCCUCCGUCCAUAUUCUCCUCUCCCAUCCUCUACCGCCCGCUCACAACCCCACCCCCCGUGGCUAGGGUUUCGGGCAGGGCUUCGCCGGAGCCACGAGCGCGAUGACGGCGGCGGUGACUCGGAUCCACGAGCGUGACGGAGGCUGGGAAAGGACUGCAGCACUACUGCUCACGAUGACAGGAUGGUGUGUGCGCUGCCCCAAGGCGGAGCCCACCGAGUCGUGCAAUCACCCCUGCUGCUUCCUCCAGUUGUCCCUCCUGCAUAGCUACAUCUUGGUGUUAUUGGGACAUUUUUUUUUCAUGGUUGGAAACAAGAUGUUCCUGAUGUUGGAGCUCACAGAGAAGGGUAUUAUGAUAGUCUACUUACUUCUGAAGGUGCAUUAGAAGAUAGUGGAUGUCCAGAUUCUUUGGCUUCAGAAAGGUGGUGAUAAAAAUCCUGAAGUAUUGUCAGCAUUUUCGUCUUAAAAUAGAGGGAAAAUAAAGAAGGUACACAGUCGUGUUCAUUGUCAUGGAAAAUUAUUAUCCUUUUUGUUAUCCUGAGUAGUUGUUGUUGGAUGUUAUUUCUCUCUUUGAAAAACAUCUGAUGUAAAUUUGUUGUACUCCAACUCACAAACCCUACUACUAGACCCAAAACCUACUACUAAAUGGUUCCAAAAAAAUUGCAUGUUAUUGUAGAAGUCUUGAUCAACAUUCUCGUGUUACUGUGAUGUAGUAGACAAAAUUUUAUGCUUGGACAUUUUUAACUUUUCUUAUAGCAACUAUUGCUCUGAAAUUGUUGGUCUCUUACUUCUAUUGACGGCAGAAGAGAACACAUUUGGGUACACCCACCAGGAUAGUUUGUUCUACGUUUAUCUUACUUUGGAGUUGCAGACCCUAAGAUAUCAAGAUAGCUCAUUUACAUAGUAUAUUAAAUCUCUUGAUGGUAUAACAUGACAUUGGCAGGAAUUAUUGAUGACUACUUUGAUGGGUACUUUUCUGAAGAAAUGAUUGUCCCAGGUACUGUGAUGCUCGCAGUUCUAUCUUUCAAUGCUUGCAUAUGCCAUUGUGAUACAAGAGUACUACCAGAUUUUGCAAUGUUCGUGAUUCAGAUUGACCAUGAUUGAUACUGUUGUUUAAGAUCAUAAAAUUUGUCAUGGUUGAUUAAAUAGGCACAGUUGAUUUUAGUCGCAGACCCUAAGAUAUCAAGAAAGCACUGCUACAAAUUUAGAACUAGGAUGUAGUUUUUCAUAGUUCCUGUCAAGUAUGCUUAUUUGCAAUCUAGGAUCACAAUUGUAAAGGUUAAUCCUUUUAGUUGUGUAGCAUUGCAGAUCUCGGCUCUUGAAAAUCUUCCUACCAUACCAACACAUUAGGUAGGAUUUGCCUUAUUUUGUAAUGAGCAAACAAAAAUGUUGUUAAUAUAACAAAUAAUUAUGCGCAGUAGUACAUGGUUGGAAAUUCCUUUCUUGUUCAAUGCAUAUUAGACUGAAAUUUGUACUGUUUGGUCUGCAUUCACAAUCAACAUGGGGUGCUGAAGUAGUGUAAAUUGUUUGAAGUUGCUUAUUGGCCAGUAUAUAUAAGGUUGGAGUACUGUACUGUUUGGUCAGCCGUUUUGGUAUGUAUCGUUGAAUCGACACCCAUUAAGCUCUUUUUGGUUUCUAUUAUCUGUGAGCACAUAUGAACAUCGAUGAAAACUAUUCUGGGAUGAAACGUGAGCAUGCCUUGGUGUACAUAUGAAGGAACUGAUUUUUUCAGCAUCCGGGGGAAAUUUUCCUGUUUUGAUUUUACAAUUUUGAUUCUUUCCUUCAUCUGUUGAUGGUAAAAAUUAACACACGUAGUUGUAUACAUAUUUUGAAAAUCGGAAGCGGUUUUAACAUUUCACAUGAUAUUGUAGUUUACGGUACUAAGCUUGACGCUGCUCGGUGUGCUGUUGUUCUUCGUCGGCGUGGAACUAGCCGUCGCCGCUAUGGUACAUGUACCCGUUGCCUCCGCUUGACGUAGUUCGCGAUGGACAUAGACAUGGGAACAUCGCGACGGAGAUCCCCCACUCCAACCCACGACUCCGGGGUGACUGGCGGUCGGCCAGUGACCGAGCUCAAAAUCCGGUUCAGUGUCAAUGGUGGGUUGUGCUCCAGUGCGAGGGGUGGUGGCGCUUUGAGGAGGAAACAGGUGCGUGCCUUUGUCAGUUGGUUUUUGUACUUCUACUUUUCACUUUCAGAAUCAAUCGUGAUUCCAUGGUGAGUCAUUACCAACCAAGUUAUGGGGAGUUCUGCUCUAGGCAGCAGAUCAGGAAGGAACAAACCCCGUCUCUCUGGUGCUCCAGUAGUAGAUAUUGCUGAAAUAGCUAAAGGAUUUAGUUGUAACACUUGCUCUGAACUUUACUCAACAAGCAAGUUUUCCAAAUAUUGAAGUCGAAUUUUUUCAGGGUUCAUAUACAUAUACACAAAUAGUGGGAAAUUAAUGGCCCUUAGAUAUUGUUGUGCUCUUUUGAAAAGCGGGUCUGUAUACAACAUAUAGUGGAUAUGUGUGUGUGUGUGUAUAUAUAUAUGUAUGUAUGUAUUCUAGGAUCUAUGAUGCCCAGCAAGCGUGAACAAAUUUAACUUGCGAUUUUAUUAACGCAUUGCUAUGCUUUGAUACAAAGUUUAGGCGUAGUUCUACUUUAUUGAUAAAUUACCCUCCGGCAAGGUUCAUAUCUAAGACUUGGUUGGUCAAUUGUUGCACGCCUAACUAAAAUCUUUCCUUCAGGAUAUUUUUAGGUUUAAAAGACUUUUCAUCAUUAUUUGCAAAUCCAUGAGAUCUAGCAUAGCUAGCCAGCCCAUGAUCUACUUGGUUGCACUCUCGACGCAUCAGGGAUGUGCAGCACUACUGAAAACAAUUCAUCUGCUCCCUAAUAUCCACAUACCCGACAAACAGUCUUGAUCUGCAGGUCCCAGUGAAUUGCAGUGCCUCAAAAACUACGAGCUGUCGAUUUUCAAGAUUACCAGGCCAGUUACCAUUCAUGUGUAUGAGUGAGAGCACGAAACAGCCUCAGCUUCUGCUUCGUCGGUGGUGUCUGAGCAGUUCAGUUCCUAGCGAGAACAACAUAUGUCCUUUGUACUAGAAUGAUUAUUCCUGUUGCAACAUACUCCUCAGUACUUCCCAUUAUCUAUGGGUAUGUAAUCUUAAUGAAAAUCAUAUGUUUCUGAAUA